AUACGUAGGGGGCGAGCGUUGUCCGGAAUGAUUGGGCGUAAAGGGCGCGUAGGCGGCCCGGUAAGUCUGGAGUGAAAGUCCUGUUUUUGAGAUGGGAAUUGCUUUGGAUACUGUCGGGCUUGAGUGCAGGAGAGGUAAGUGGAAUUCCCAGUGUAGCGGUGAAAUGCGUAGAGAUUGGGAGGAACACCAGUGGCGAAGGCGACUUACUGGACUGUAACUGACGCUGAGGCGCGAAAGUGUGGGGAGCAAACAGGAUUAGAUACCCUGGUAGUCCACACUGUAAACGAUGAAUGCUAGGUGUAGGGGGUAUCGACCCCUUCUGUGCCGCAGUCAACACAAUAAGCAUUCCGCCUGGUGAGUACGGCCGCAAGGUUGAAACUCAAAUGAAUUGACGGGG
This 397-nucleotide ribosomal RNA is filed under the name uncultured bacterium. RNAcentral's name for it is "partial 16S ribosomal RNA". It matches the Rfam family "Bacterial small subunit ribosomal RNA", at positions 523 to 918 of the family's 1533-position model. The record is from RNAcentral.